Molecule: long non-coding RNA, 1242 nt
Filed under: Macaca mulatta (Rhesus monkey)
Lineage: Eukaryota; Metazoa; Chordata; Mammalia; Primates; Cercopithecidae
Description: lncRNA (ENSMMUG00000051807.1)
Source: RNAcentral
CUCCUGGGCUCUUUCACCUUUCGUGAACUGAGCCCCCUUCUGAAGUAAGGCAUGGGCACCCCGAAUGGAAAUGGCUGGAUUAAUGCGCAUGCAUGUCCACACUGGUGCAGGGCACCUGCUUUUCUGGGACAAUUGCCAUCUGGAAUCAGACGCCUUCCUCAUUGUGUGCCUAUUUCUGGACAAAGAAAAGGAGAACUGGAUGAGAAGCAGGCCUCCUCUCCCACAUCCUCCAGCCGCCUGGCAGGCCCAACUAAGACACCCGCUCCAGCUCAGGUGGUUUACGUGGCUCUAAUGAAGUCCUCCUGGAUUUAGGGUGGGUCCUAAAUCCAGUGACUGGCGUCCUUAUAAGAAGACCACAUGAAGCCACAGGGAGGCAUGGAGAGGACACCAUGUGACCAUGGAGACAGAGCCUGGAGUGCAGCAUCUAGGACCCAAAGAGAGCCAAGGAAUCCUGGCACCACCGGAAGCCAGGAGAGAGCUGGAACAUUCUCCCAGAGCUUCCGGAAGGAACCUAGCCUGCCCACACCUUGAUUUUGGACUUCUGGCCUUCAGAACUCUGGGAGAAGAGCUUCUGCUGCUUGCAGAUACCCAGUUUGUGGUCAUUUGUUAAAGCAGUCCCAGGACACGAAGCCACAGCGUAGCCACAGGCUUGGGCUGGGUUCCAGGGCAGCCCUGACUCCCUCCUCACUUUACCUUGUAUCACAGCAAAGCCCACAGCCAGGAAAAGAGGGUCAAACUGCAACGGCUCUCACUUCUGAGCAUCCUAACGAAAGCCAAAGACAGCACUGUUUACCUAAAUCGGACAGCCCACAGAAUCUUCCAGUCUGAAAUAAGAAAUGGCACGCGUUUUAGCCAUGGGAAUUACAGGGUAGGGCAGAUCCUUCCCCUUAACUAGUCAGUGGUUGAAAUUUCUUUUGCAGCAGAAAUUUUAAGUGGUAGCUUGAAUGUUUAAUGUUUGCAACAUUAGAAUGCCCUAGUCUCCACUUACUGAUUUAAAGAGUAACAGAAAUCUUUACAGGAACAGCAGCAGGAUGGCUGAUUCCCAAGAGCAGCUUCCUGACACCCCCGCCCCAGCACCCCUGGGUCCAGUCACCAUUCAGAUACAUCUCUCGAUGGGCUGCAAGGAAAAGAACAGUGUCAGAGGACAAGGCCGGUUUACAUACAACUAACUGAAGCCCUUUGAUGAGCUCCCCUCUCAUCUCCAAUCUAACCCAUCUCUGCAAAUAAAAGCUAUCACCAUCG